Molecule: ribosomal RNA, 497 nt
Filed under: uncultured bacterium
Lineage: Bacteria
Description: partial 16S ribosomal RNA
Rfam family: Bacterial small subunit ribosomal RNA
Source: RNAcentral
GAUGAACGCUGGCGGCGUGCCUAAUACAUGCAAGUCGAGCGAACAGACGAGGAGCUUGCUCCUCUGACGUUAGCGGCGGACGGGUGAGUAACACGUGGAUAACCUACCUAUAAGACUGGGAUAACUUCGGGAAACCGGAGCUAAUACCGGAUAAUAUAUUGAACCGCAUGGUUCAAUAGUGAAAGACGGUUUUGCUGUCACUUAUAGAUGGAUCCGCGCCGCAUUAGCUAGUUGGUAAGGUAACGGCUUACCAAGGCAACGAUGCGUAGCCGACCUGAGAGGGUGAUCGACCACACUGGAACUGAGACACGGUCCAGACUCCUACGGGAGGCAGCAGUAGGGAAUCUUCCGCAAUGGGCGAAAGCCUGACGGAGCUACGCCGCGUGAGUGAUGAAGGUCUUCGGAUCGUAAAACUCUGUUAUUAGGGAAGAACAAAUGUGUAAGUAACUAUGCACGUCUUGACGGUACCUAAUCAGAAAGCCACGGCUAACUACGUG